UCUUCUAUCUAAAUAGAGGAACUCUCAUAAUGAAAUUAAUUAAAUUCGAAUUGACAUGGUAUCAGAGCCACAAAUAAAAUACCUCAGUGCUUGCUCGUGGGAGUAGGUCUUGUGGUUUUGAAAACCAAUUUUAAAUCGUUUGAGUGCUUCUUUUUGGCUGCCAGGCUCUUCAAUUCUGGGUUUUGGUAGAUGAGUUUUGGUUUCUAUUUGAAGCUUUAUGGAAUUUCCAUCAAUUUGCUUCUUUGGCGUUCUUGGCGUCUUCAAUUCAAUCGGCACAUGUCGACGACUUCUGUGGUGAUUUGGUGGUCUUGGAGUUCUG
RNAcentral lists this long non-coding RNA (319 nucleotides) under Olea europaea (common olive). RNAcentral's name for it is "long non-coding RNA (OEUR_LNC010334)". The record is from RNAcentral. Lineage: Eukaryota; Viridiplantae; Streptophyta; Magnoliopsida; Lamiales; Oleaceae.